Molecule: long non-coding RNA, 776 nt
Organism: Mesocricetus auratus (golden hamster)
Lineage: Eukaryota; Metazoa; Chordata; Mammalia; Rodentia; Cricetidae
Exons: 2
Source: RefSeq, a predicted model, not a curated record
AUGAAAGUGGGGUUGUAUCCAAACCUGCCCUUCUUCCCUGAACAGCCACCCACAGGAUCUGAAGGACAAAUCAGUCUGAACUUCAUAUGCUGAGGACAUAGGAGCACUUAGCUAAAGCAUAAGGCAUUUUCUAAUACAAAUAGUAACAGAGCACAGGAUAUUGUGGUAGGAUCUUCCUCUCCACCAUUAAUGGCAUUCGUGGCACAUCUUAUAUAUUUUUGCUUUUAACUUACUUCUUUCUCAUACAUCCUGACAGCAACCUCCCCUCCAUAUUGUCCUCCAAGACAAUGGCAUUGCCACCUCUCCAAAAUCCACUGCUGCUGUAUUUCCUAUCAGAGAACGGCUGACUUCCCAGUGAUGUCCACUGGUCAAGGCUUGAAAAGAUAAUCAUGGGCUCUGGAAUAUUCUGAAUGGGCUGGCAGCGACCAUGAUGCUUGUCUUCUUCAUCUUCCUCAUGUAUUCUUGGUGCUCUGCCAAAAAGAAAAACAACCUAAAGAAGAAGCCAGCCAGAGUCAUGUGAGGAGUUUGAGGAAGCAAGACCAGAUGAGCACAGAUGUGUAUUGUUCAUUUACACAAAGGUACAUGACCCAAGACAGAGCCACUGAGGCGUGGCUUUCUAGAAAGAGCAACAGAGAUCCUGCUCUUCCUCUCAUCUCUCACAGCACUAUUUCCUCAAUGCAUCUUCUGUGUCCCAUAUACUGAUUUGCUUGUUUUUUUGUUACUAUUUGGGGGUCUGUCACCCCACUCCCAAAUAAACAAAGACUUAUUCAUAGUUA